AGGGGUGAGGAUAAUGAGAUGGGACACACCCAGAUCCAUUCCGAACCUGGCCGUUAAGCCAACUCAUGCCGAUGGUAGUACACUUAUUGUGUGCAAGAGUAGGUUUCGCCCCUU
RNAcentral lists this ribosomal RNA (114 nucleotides) under Geotoga petraea. Lineage: Bacteria; Thermotogati; Thermotogota; Thermotogae; Petrotogales; Petrotogaceae. The record is from RNAcentral.